UAGUAAUAGGUUUUAAGGGUGCAACUC
This 27-nucleotide small RNA is filed under the name Bombyx mori (domestic silkworm). RNAcentral's name for it is "ovarian small RNA-22859". Lineage: Eukaryota; Metazoa; Arthropoda; Insecta; Lepidoptera; Bombycidae. The record is from RNAcentral.